RNAcentral lists this ribosomal RNA (390 nucleotides) under Rhodotorula sp. Its description in RNAcentral is "partial small subunit ribosomal RNA". It matches the Rfam family "Eukaryotic small subunit ribosomal RNA", at positions 582 to 975 of the family's 1831-position model. Lineage: Eukaryota; Fungi; Basidiomycota; Microbotryomycetes; Sporidiobolales; Sporidiobolaceae. The record is from RNAcentral.
AUUCCAGCUCCAAUAGCGUAUAUUAAAGUUGUUGCCGUUAAAAGCUCGUAGUCGAACUUCGGCCUCUGCCGCCCGGUCCGCCUAUUCGGGUGUGUACUGGAGCGGUGGAGGCUUACCUCGUGGUGAGCGGCGAUGUCCUUUACUGGGCGUCGUCGGGAACCAUGAUUUUUACUUUGAAAAAAUUAGAGUGUUCAAAGCAGGCUUACGCCCGAAUACAUUAGCAUGGAAUAAUAAAAUAGGACGUGCGGUCCUAUUUUGUUGGUUUCUAGGAUCGCCGUAAUGAUUAAUAGGGAUAGUUGGGGGCAUUCGUAUUCAAUUGCUAGAGGUGAAAUUCUUGGAUUUAUUGAAGACGAACUACUGCGAAAGCAUUUGCCAAGGAUGUUUUCAUUA